GUGCCAGCAGCCGCGGUAAUUCCAGCUCCAAUAAGGAAAACUAAAGUUGCUGUGUUUAAAAAGCUCGUAGUUGAAUUUCGGGUAUUUGUUGCUAGCUGGUCUAACUGGCCAUGUUGGUUAACAGAUCCUCAUUUGCUGGACGGCUGGCGAUGAUCUUUAUCGAUUGUCGUCAGUUGCCAGAACGUUUACUUUGAGAAAAUUAGAGUGCUAAAAGCAGGCUCACGCCUAUAUAUAUUGCAUGGAAUAAUGAAAUAAGAUCUCGAUUUUAUUUCGUUGGUUUUAGAAAUUGAGAUAAUGAUUAAUAGGAUCAGAGGGGGGCGUACGUACUGUGGUGUGAGAGGUGAAAUUCUUGGAUCGCCACAGGACGAACAGCAGCGAAGGCGUUCGCCAAGAAUGUUUUCAUUAAUCAAGAACGAAAGUUUGAGGUUCGAAGACGAUUAGAUACCGUCCUAGUUCAAACCAUAAACGUUGCCAACUGUCUUUUAGAUGCGGUUAUUUAUAUGACUCAUCUGGCGGAUCUCGAGAAAUCUAAGUUUUUAGGUUCCGGGGGAAGUAUGGUUGCAAAGCUGAAACUUAAAAGAAUUGACGGAAGGACACACAAGUAAGUGGAGCCUGUGGCCUAAUUUGACUCAACACGGGAAACCUUACUCGGCCAGGACACUUUUAGGGAUUGACAGGAUUGAGGAGCUUCUUUCUUGGAUUAAGGUGGGUGGUGGUGCAUGGUCGUUCGUAGUUCGUGGAGCGAUUUGUCUGAUUAAUUCCAUACA
This 767-nucleotide ribosomal RNA is filed under the name Habrotrocha sp. HC1. RNAcentral describes it as "SSU rRNA". It matches the Rfam family "Eukaryotic small subunit ribosomal RNA", at positions 564 to 1331 of the family's 1831-position model. The record is from RNAcentral. Lineage: Eukaryota; Metazoa; Rotifera; Eurotatoria; Philodinida; Habrotrochidae.